Molecule: ribosomal RNA, 468 nt
Filed under: uncultured bacterium
Lineage: Bacteria
Description: partial 16S ribosomal RNA
Rfam family: Bacterial small subunit ribosomal RNA
Source: RNAcentral
GACGAACGCUGGCGGCGUGCCUAACACAUGCAAGUCGAACGGAAAGGCCCUGCUUUUGUGGGGUGCUCGAGUGGCGAACGGGUGAGUAACACGUGAGUAACCUGCCCUUGACUUUGGGACAUCUUCAGGAAACUGGGGCUAAUACCGGAUAGGAGCUCCUGCUGCAUGGUGGGGGUUGGAAAGUUUCCGCGGUGGGGGAUGGACUCCUGGCGUAUCAGCUUGUUGGUGGGGUAGUGGCAUACCAAGGCUUUGACGGGUAGCCGGCCUGAGAGGGUGACCAGCCUCAAUGAGACUAAGAUACGGCCCAGCGUCCUACGGAAGGAAGCAGUGGGGAGUAUUGCAAAGUGGGCGGAAGCCUGUUGCAGCGGCUCCGCGGGCGGGAUGACGGCCAUCAGGUUAUAAACCGUUUUAACCUGUAACGAAGCAUGUGUGACGGUAAUAAGUAAAGAAGCACCGGCUAACUACGUG